This 267-nucleotide ribosomal RNA is filed under the name uncultured bacterium. RNAcentral's name for it is "partial 16S ribosomal RNA". It matches the Rfam family "Bacterial small subunit ribosomal RNA", at positions 793 to 1055 of the family's 1533-position model. The record is from RNAcentral.
GUCCACGCUGUAAACGAUGAGCGCUAGGUGUUGCGGGUGUUGACCCCUGCAGUGCCGAAGCUAACGCAUUAAGCGCUCCGCCUGGGAAGUACGGCCGCAAGGCUAAAACUCAAAGGAAUUGACGGGGGCCCCGCACAAGCGGUGGAGCAUGUGGUUUAAUUCGACGCAACGCGCAGAACCUUACCUGGUCUUGACAUCCUAGGAACCUGCCAGAGAUGGUGGGGUGCCCGCAAGGGAGCCUAGAGACAGGUGCUGCAUGGCUGUCGU